CUCUGUGAUCUAACCAGAACCAAACGGAACCUAUAGAGAGUCCAAUCCUUGCCCGACAGCCCUGAGCCAGGCCCAUAGCUGCCUAGCCUACAGCACUGGGGGCAGAGGGAGGUCCUCUGGAUUAUGGCACAGGGGGAAUUUGCAGGAAAAACUCCCCACAAAUUAGCACCAUCUACAAUUGACCAACAAAGUGCAGAUACUUCUCAGCAUUCAAAGCCUAAACAAUCAGGAUGGAGACGUAUAAAGCAUUCAAUGCUUCAUGUUGGCAGGACGAUACCAGGUAUUUCACUGACAGGUGAAAUAGCAGAGUGACGGGACAGAGUGAUCAAGGCAGAGUGAUCUAAAGGACACAGUAGUACUUCUUUAGGACCCUGGCAGAAUGGAAGAGAGCAUCUGGCUUCUAAGGCACUGCACAAACUUGAAUGAUCUUCUUCAGAAUUGACAAGGAAAGGCCAUGUUAUGUUCACCCUGGGUUAAGUUUUAAGUGUAUCUUAUUUAAUUUUUUUCAAUAUGAGUCAUCUCCAGAUACUGUGAUGAUUUCCAAAUAACCAGAAUCUAGAUGACUAGAAAUUUACUCUAGCUGGCUUUAGACAGGAAGCGUGAGGACAGAAUCCAGCUGCUUCCACUCCAGGGUAGGUCUGAAGCCAACCGUCCUCGGUUUCCUGGCCUGUGGCAUCAGUCUGGUUGGAUUACACACAAAGCCCUGCAGAUCUGCUGCUUUUCCUGAUUCUCCUGUCCUGAGUGAGUGCAAGGGGCUCCCCUGUCGCCGAUGUGUUCUUUGAAGCAGAUGCUGUGCCUGAUACCUGCUGGAGAGUCCCACCGCCUUGAGCUUCUGGGUCGAGAAAGGCCAAGUUGCACACUACUGAGAGACUGCCAUGCACCCCCUGGAGGCCUCAGAACAUUCGACAUGCUCCAGUCAUGGCCACGGCAGUGACUGCUGAUUGCCUAACCCCACAUGUGUUCUCCCCCUUCCCUGAUAAUCAAGCCCCUGAUUUUCAGCUGGGCACAAAAUAAUUCUUCCUAGAACAACUCCACGUGUGUUAUCGCCCUUGCAGCUGGGGGUGGCCACCACUGGGGAGAGGCAGGGUGAAGAGGUCGAAGGAGCCUGAGUUAGCAGGGAUGAGCAGUGGCCAGGUAACCCCAGACCCAUUAUCCUCUGGAUUUCUUUUAUGUGAAACAAUAAAAUGUCUUGUAUUCGA
Molecule: long non-coding RNA, 1199 nt
Filed under: Homo sapiens (human)
Lineage: Eukaryota; Metazoa; Chordata; Mammalia; Primates; Hominidae
Description: HSALNT0304073
Source: RNAcentral